RNAcentral lists this ribosomal RNA (415 nucleotides) under uncultured soil bacterium. RNAcentral describes it as "bacterial SSU rRNA". It matches the Rfam family "Bacterial small subunit ribosomal RNA", at positions 26 to 431 of the family's 1533-position model. The record is from RNAcentral.
AGAACGAACGUUAGCGGCGCGCUUAACACAUGCAAGUCGAGCGAGAAAGGGGCAACCCCGGUAAGGCGGCGCACGGGUGAGUAACACGUAGGUAAUCUACCCCCAGGUGGUGGAUAACCUUCCGAAAGGAAGGCUAAUACAGCAUGGGACCACGGCUUCGCAAGGAGUUGAGGUGAAAGUCGGCCUCUUCAUGAAAGCCGACGCCAGGGGAUGAGCCUGCGGCCCAUCAGCUAGUUGGUAGGGUAAUGGCCUACCAAGGCAAAGACGGUAGCUGGUCUGAGAGGAUGAUCAGCCACACUGGAACUGAGACGACGGUCCAGACUCCUACGGGAGGCAGCAGUGGGGAAUCGUGCGCAAGUGGAAGAAAGUCUGACGCAGCCGACGCCGCGUGAGUGAUGAAGCCCGUGGUGUAAGC